AGUGGCGAACGGGUGAGUAACGCGUGAGUAACCUGCCCUAGAGUGGGGGACAACAGUUGGAAACGACUGCUAAUACCGCAUACUUUAGGAUGGACUCGCGUCCAAUUAGCUAGUUGGUGAGGUAACGGCCCACCAAGGCGACGAUUGGUAACCGGACUGAGAGGUUGAACGGCCACAUUGGGACUGAGACACGGCCCAGACUCCUACGGGAGGCAGCAGUGGGGGAUAUUGCACAAUGGGGGAAACCCUGAUGCAGCGACGCCGCGUGGAGGAAGAAGGUUUUCGGAUUGUAAACUCCUGUCGUUAGGGACGCGGUACCUAACAAGAAAGCACCGGCUAACUACGUGCCAGCAGCCGCGGUAAAACGUAGGGUGUAAGCGUUGUCCGGAAUUACUGGGUGUAAAGGGAGCGCACGCGGACCGGCAAGUUGGAAGUGAAAACCAUGGGCUCAACCCAUGAAUUGCUUUCAAAACUGCUGGCCUUGAGUAGUGCAGAGGUAGGUGGAAUUCCCGGUGUAGCGGUGGAAUGCGUAGAUAUCGGGGGGAAC
Molecule: ribosomal RNA, 547 nt
Filed under: uncultured bacterium
Lineage: Bacteria
Description: bacterial SSU rRNA
Rfam family: Bacterial small subunit ribosomal RNA
Source: RNAcentral